Molecule: long non-coding RNA, 377 nt
Filed under: Vigna radiata
Lineage: Eukaryota; Viridiplantae; Streptophyta; Magnoliopsida; Fabales; Fabaceae
Description: long non-coding RNA (VRAD_LNC013815)
Source: RNAcentral
AGAAGAAGGAAAAAAAAAAGAGAAGAAAUGGAGAUGGUGAGAAGAAAAAGAGAAAAAAAGAGAAGAAGGGGAAAGAAGAAAGUGAGGAGGAUGAGGAAGAAGAGAAGAAAGAAGAAAAGAAGAAUGAUAAGGAAAUGGAACAACAAUGGAUGUGACAACUAUGACAAAGGAGAACAAAAAAAUGAAAAAGAAAAAGAGGAAGAAGAGGAAAAAAAGAAAGAAGAUGAAAAGAAAAUAAACCAAAUCACAAUAUUAACGGAUAUAUUUUUAAUUGUCGGUAAUUAUUAAAAAAAAUUGUAUUCGUCAAUAAAAUUUAUCAAUGAACAUUUAAUCGAUCAAUUUUUAAUUAUCGAUAAUUUUAUUUUACUGAUAUAUUU